This is a long non-coding RNA of Triticum aestivum (bread wheat), 2269 nucleotides long. RefSeq lists it as uncharacterized. NCBI's taxonomy places the organism in Eukaryota, Viridiplantae, Streptophyta, Magnoliopsida, Poales, Poaceae. The transcript is spliced from 2 exons. The record is from RefSeq and is a predicted model, not a curated record.
CCAUCCGUUGCUGCUUGUAGAUUCGUGUGUGUGGACCCCACAUGAUUCUUGUAUCCGCCAACAAUCCCUGGAAGAUUUAUACAACAGGAAUACGGGGUGGACCCCGUGCGAGAUAAUAUCAACCCCACGCCGCUCGCUUUCCCACAACACCUCUCUUCCCCCUCUCUCUCUCAUAUGUUCAUGUUGGUCGCUGGUUGUCAUCGUCGGUCGCCCCAGCUAUUGCCGCCACAAAUCUGGCUUCUCUACCAACGUCCGGCAUCGGAUCCGGCUUCCCUAGCCGGCACCUACCACGGCUGGACACACACAAGACCAGCGGCGGCGAGGCUGUACCAAGAGGCCAACGAGGAGAGGCGUCAGAUCACGCUGGCAGAAGAUGGGUCCACUUCCGUGGGGAGACCUGCUCUGGCGUUGUUCGACCACAUCGGGCCAACCACAACGGGUCAACGAGGAGGGUCGUCACCAGAUCCGGCGACUCCAAGCAUGACCGACACCGGAUCUGGUGAGCCAUGAAGCCCACGACCAGAUGCAUUCAGCCCCACCCCAGAUGGACAGCUCCCCCUACUUGUGUGAUAUAUGGAACUGUUAUACUUGAUGGAAGUGAAGGUGUCAAAUUGAACUCGAUGUGAAGAUCUGUACCAGAUUGUGUGAUAUAUGUGAUAUUGUUGUUCCGAAAUUGAAAUAGAUAUGUAGAGAAGUGAAACUGCUAUAUUUGAUGUGAAAUACAGAUUUGUGAAAAUAAUACCCGUGAUGUCAAACGAAAUUGUAAUUGGAAAGUAUUUUUUGUGUUGAAAUGUUUUUUUUAAAUUGGAAGCCAUGCUUAUGUUUGUGAAACUUUUGUUUCUUCAUUAUGUGAAUCAGAACUGGUAGGUUCAUAUCUUUGAAAUGGUUUAUGUGAGUACUUUGAAAUAACCAGUUUCAUUCUUUCCUGCAAUAUGAUAUUCGAAUAACUGAAAUAUAGUCCAUUCAUUUAGAAGUCAAAAUAUAGUGAAACUGGUAUGUGUAUGAAAUGUUUCAGUUUUCAAUAUUUAUGUUUUUAUGUCACUCUUUUGUAAUAAUCAGUUUCACUUUUUUUUGGAAAGUAUAUGAAAUUACUUGUCCAAAAAUAUAUGAAAUUGAUAUUUUGUAAGUGUGUAAUUUUUUAUUCUAGUGUGAUCUUUACUGAUUUUUUUUUGAAUUAUAAAUUAUAUUUGUUUGUGUCACUUUUGAUAUAAUGAAUUUCACUCUUUUGAGUAAAAAUGAAUUUGGAAUAGCUGAAAGGACCUUUUUAAGAAAUUGAAACUUUUUAUGGCAUCCAUUUGAAUAGUCAGUUUCAUUUAUUUGUGACUAUUGCAAUUAGUUAAUAAAAUGGGUGAAAUUAGGAUUUUUUUAAAAACAUAUUAUUAUUAUAAAAAAUUAGGAUAAUAUAUGACAGAAACACUUUUUGUACCUUUCAUCCUCUGGCCGUCGACCAUGUCUGAAUGUCCAACGCAGAAGCCUUCUUCAGAAGACAAGUUUUUCCGUGGAAAGUUCAUCCGAAACAGAAAUGCAGAUUUAAAAAAAAUACAGGAAUGCAAGUGGUGGUGAUAUUGGCGACGGUUGCGUCUCGCCCACAACAGCAAGACACAAACCAGUAUUGCCUCAAGGAUGUCGUAAAUGGCAUGCCAUAAUCAUGCUACGUAUAGUUUUUGUUUGUUUAAAAAAUUUAUUCAUAUUUUCAAAAGUAAUUAUAGAUACAUAUAAUUCAAAAAUGAUAAUGUAUACAAAUUUCGUAAAAAUUUUCACCUCAAAUUUGAAAAAUGAUAACAAGGUCUAUAUUUUUGUUUAGUGUAAUUUGAAAAUUUUGCUUAUAUUAUUAAAAAACCAUGCUAUUUAAAUUUUUUAAGCAUUUCAAAGAAAUGUAUGUAAUUUUUUAAAUGUUAUACAAUUUUAAAAAUGUUCGUGUAAUUGAAAAAAUGUACAUCACAUUUUUAAAAAGUUCACUUGUUUCAAAAAUGUGUUUAUGAUAUACUAAAAAACGUUAAUGCAAUGUCAAAAAAGUUUACACGGCUAAUAUAAAAUGUUCUUUAUCAUGCAAAGUAAUGUUUUCAACAUGUAUUUCAAAAAUGUUUAACACAUUGAAAAAUGUAUUCAAAAACAUGUAUUUCAAAAUAUUAAUCAUGUGUUUAAAAAACGGUUUUUUAUCUAUACAAAAAAUGUACAAUAUAUAUGAAAAUAACAGACAUCAAAACAUAUAUUAAAAAAAGUAACCAAGGAUAACAAAAGUUUCUGAUGUAUAUGAAAAUAUGUACAA